RNAcentral lists this transfer RNA (55 nucleotides) under Demodex folliculorum. RNAcentral describes it as "tRNA-Tyr". The record is from RNAcentral. Lineage: Eukaryota; Metazoa; Arthropoda; Arachnida; Trombidiformes; Demodicidae.
UUUGAUUUCUAAUUAUUGAAAAUUGUAAAUUUUCUCUUUUAGAUUAGAGUAAUAA